Molecule: long non-coding RNA, 1763 nt
Organism: Rhinopithecus roxellana (golden snub-nosed monkey)
Lineage: Eukaryota; Metazoa; Chordata; Mammalia; Primates; Cercopithecidae
Exons: 4
Source: RefSeq, a predicted model, not a curated record
ACCUGGGAGGCGGAGCUUGCAGUGAGCCGAGAUUGCGCCACUGCACUCCAGCCUGGGCGACAGAGCGAGACUCCAUCUCAAAAAAAAAAAAAAAGUGAAUAAGAAGGUUGUGGCCCUGGACUUUUCUAUGAAUUCUUUAGCUAAACAAAUAAAGCAGUUACAUCGUGAAACACAGCAAAGUGAAGAUGAACAGAAUUAUAGGAAGUUUAGGGCAAAGAUUUGCCCUGGAGAAAAUCAAGCAGCCGAAGAUGAACUAAGAAAAGAGAUAAGCUCCAGUCACUGAAAGGGCUAAAUUGAUUUCCUUGCCAACUAGUAAAAACUAGACCUUCGGACCCCAGGACAUCGAUGAACUGAUCUUUAUGCUAAGCGACAGCCCUGGAGUCAUGUGCCGGCCGGCCAGAGUCAAGCAGAUGUUUGCCUCCAGAGCCUGUCGGAAGUCGGUGAUGAUUGGAACUGCUCUUAAUACAAGCGAGAUGAAGAAACUGAUCACCCACAUGGGGGAGAUGGGCCACCCCUGGAACUGUCCCCAUGGAAGGCCAACCAUGAGACACAUUGCCAACCUGGGUGUCAUUUCGCAGAACUGACAGUAGUCGCUGUAUGGAAUCAUCGGUUUUAUUGCAGAUUUUUAUGUUUUGAAAGACAGGGUCUUCACUCACCUUUUUUGUUUUCAAAUGAACCUGCUACUUAAAAAAAAAUACACAUCAGACCCAUUUAAAAGUGAUCUUGAGAACCUUUUCAAACCAGAUGGAGCGCUACUUGCAAAAUCGUUUUUUUCUCUGCAUGCACUCGUGUGUGUGUGUGUGUGUGUGUGUGUGUGUGUGCGUGUGUGUCCAGUCAGGAACAUAUUUUAUAAAAAUAAGAACACUUGGGCCGGGCGUGGUGGCUCAUGCCUGUGAUCCACCUGCCCCGGCCUCCCAACGUGCUGAGAUUACAGGUAUGAGCCAUAUUUCCUGGCCGAGUUAAGGAUCUUGCAGUAGAGAGAUUAUCCUGGAUUGUCUGGUUGGGCCCAGUCCAUUGGGUGAGUCCUUUGAAGGUGGAGACCUUUCCCUGCUGGCCAGAGAGAGGUGGCCUUGCUGGUAUUGGAGAUGGAAGGAGGUACCACUCGUCAAGGAUUGCAAGCAGCCUCUAGAACAGGGAUUCCAGCACUCCGGCCACAGACCAGUAGUGGUCCAUGGCCCGUUAGGAACCAGGGUGCACAGCAGGUUAGGGGCGGGGAAGCCAGCGAAACUUCAUCUGUAGUUAGAUCCCCUCCCCAUGGCUGGUAUUACCACCUGAGCGCCACCUCCUGUCAUAUCAGCGGUGGGCAUUAGAUUCUCAUAGGAGCACAAACCCUGUUGUGAACUGCACACGCGAGGGAUGUAGGUCGCACACUCCUUAAGAGAAUCUGGUGCCUGAUGAUCUGUCACUGUCUCCUGUCACCCCCAGAUGGGACCGUCUAGUUGUAGGAAAACAAACUCAGGCUUCCACUGAGUCUAUGAUGGUGAGUUGUAGAAUUAUUUAAUUAUAUGUUACAAUGUAAAAAUAAUAGAAAUAAAGUGCACAGUAAAUGCAACACGCUUGAAUCAUCCUGAAACCAUCCCCUACCCCCAUCCGUGGAAAAAUUGUCUUCUGCGAAACCGGUCUCUGGUGCCAAAAGGUUGGGGACCGCUUCUGGAAAAGCUGGAAAAGGCAAGGAAACGGACGCUUCCCCGGAGCCUCUGGAAGGAACCAGCACUGUGGGCCUGAUUUACAGACUGUAGGAUAAUAAAUUUGUGUUGCUUCAA